GACGAACGCUGGCGGCGUGCUUAACACAUGCAAGUCGAACGAAGAGCGAUGGAAGCUUGCUUCUAUCAAUCUUAGUGGCGAACGGGUGAGUAACGCGUAAUCAACCUGCCCUUAGAGGGGGACAACAGUUGGAAACGACUGCUAAUACCGCAUACGAUCUAAUCUCGGCAUCGCGGAUAGAUGAAAGGUGGCCUCUACAUGUAAGCUAUCACUGAAGGAGGGGAUUGCGUCUGAUUAGCUAGUUGGAGGGGUAACGGCCCACCAAGGCGAUGAUCAGUAGCCGGUCUGAGAGGAUGAACGGCCACAUUGGGACUGAGACACGGCCCAGACUCCUACGGGAGGCAGCAGUGGGGAAUCUUCCGCAAUGGACGAAAGUCUGACGGAGCAACGCCGCGUGAGCGAUGACGGCCGUCGGGUUGUAAAGCUCUGCUAAUCGGGACGAAAGGCCUUCUUGCGAAUAGGGAGAAGGAUUGACGGUACCGGAAUAGAAAGCCACGGCUAACUACGUG
Molecule: ribosomal RNA, 509 nt
Filed under: uncultured bacterium
Lineage: Bacteria
Description: partial 16S ribosomal RNA
Rfam family: Bacterial small subunit ribosomal RNA
Source: RNAcentral